AGUCGACUCCUACGGGAGGCAGCAGUGGGGAAUAUUGCACGAAUGGGGAACCCUGAUGCAGCCAUGCCGCGUGUGUGAAGAAGGCCUUCGGGUUGUAAAGCACUUUCAGUCGUGAGGAAGGUAGUGUAGUUAAUAGCUGUAUUAUUUGACGUUAGCGACAGAAGAAGCACCGGCUAACUCCGUGCCAGCAGCCGCGGUAAUACGGAGGGUGCGAGCGUUAAUCGGAAUUACUGGGCGUAAAGCGCAUGCAGGUGGUUUGUUAAGUCAGAUGUGAAAGCCCGGGGCUCAACCUCGGAAUUGCAUUUGAAACUGGCAGACUAGAGUACUGUAGAGGGGGUAGAAUUUCAGGUGUAGCGGUGAAAUGCGUAGAGAUCUGAAGGAAUACCGGUGGCGAAGGCGGCCCCCUGGACAGAUACUGACACUCAGAUGCGAAAGCGUGGGGAGCAAAACAGGAUUAGAUACCCUGGUAG
RNAcentral lists this ribosomal RNA (470 nucleotides) under uncultured bacterium. RNAcentral describes it as "bacterial SSU rRNA". It matches the Rfam family "Bacterial small subunit ribosomal RNA", at positions 330 to 793 of the family's 1533-position model. The record is from RNAcentral.